GCCAGUGUAGCAGAGUGGUUUGAGUGUUGGACUGCAACUCUGGGGACAAGGGUUCAAUUCCCCGCUUGGCCA
This 72-nucleotide transfer RNA is filed under the name Phrynosoma platyrhinos (Desert horned lizard). RNAcentral's name for it is "tRNA-OTHER". The record is from RNAcentral. Lineage: Eukaryota; Metazoa; Chordata; Lepidosauria; Squamata; Phrynosomatidae.